GACGAACGCUGGCGGCGUGCCUAAUACAUGCAAGUCGAGCGGACAGAAGGGAGCUUGCUCCCGGAUGUUAGCGGCGGACGGGUGAGUAACACGUGGGUAACCUGCCUGUAAGACUGGGAUAACUCCGGGAAACCGGAGCUAAUACCGGAUAGUUCCUUGAACCGCAUGGUUCAAGGAUGAAAGACGGUUUCGGCUGUCACUUACAGAUGGACCCGCGGCGCAUUAGCUAGUUGGUGAGGUAACGGCUCACCAAGGCGACGAUGCGUAGCCGACCUGAGAGGGUGAUCGGCCACACUGGGACUGAGACACGGCCCAGACUCCUACGGGAGGCAGCAGUAGGGAAUCUUCCGCAAUGGACGAAAGUCUGACGGAGCAACGCCGCGUGAGUGAUGAAGGUUUUCGGAUCGUAAAGCUCUGUUGUUAGGGAAGAACAAGUGCAAGAGUAACUGCUUGCACCUUGACGGUACCUAACCAGAAAGCCACGGCUAACUACGUGCCAGCAGCCGCGGUAAUACGUAGGUGGCAAGCGUUGUCCGGAAUUAUUGGGCGUAAAGGGCUCGCAGGCGGUUUCUUAAGUCUGAUGUGAAAGCCCCCGGCUCAACCGGGGAGGGUCAUUGGAAACUGGGAAACUUGAGUGCAGAAGAGGAGAG
RNAcentral lists this ribosomal RNA (650 nucleotides) under Bacillus sp. YIM DH19. Its description in RNAcentral is "bacterial SSU rRNA". It matches the Rfam family "Bacterial small subunit ribosomal RNA", at positions 28 to 661 of the family's 1533-position model. The record is from RNAcentral. Lineage: Bacteria; Bacillati; Bacillota; Bacilli; Caryophanales; Bacillaceae.